Molecule: ribosomal RNA, 233 nt
Filed under: uncultured bacterium
Lineage: Bacteria
Description: partial 16S ribosomal RNA
Rfam family: Bacterial small subunit ribosomal RNA
Source: RNAcentral
CGGGUGAGUAACGCGUGAGGAACCUGCCUCAAAGAGAGGGACAACAGUUGGAAACGACUGCUAAUACCGCAUAAGCCCACGGCUCGGCAUCGAGCAGAGGGAAAAGGAGCAAUCCGCUUUGAGAUGGCCUCGCGUCCGAUUAGCUAGUUGGUGAGGUAACGGCCCACCAAGGCGACGAUCGGUAGCCGGACUGAGAGGUUGAACGGCCACAUUGGGACUGAGACACGGCCCAG